Molecule: ribosomal RNA, 336 nt
Filed under: uncultured bacterium
Lineage: Bacteria
Description: bacterial SSU rRNA
Rfam family: Bacterial small subunit ribosomal RNA
Source: RNAcentral
GAUGAACGCUAGCUACAGGCUUAACACAUGCAAGUCGAGGGGCAGCAUGAACAAAGCUUGCUUUGUUUGAUGGCGACCGGCGCACGGGUGCGUAACACGUAUCCAAUCUGCCCGCGGCUCGGGGAUAGCCCAUCGAAAGAUGGAUUAAUACCCCGAUGGUGUGGUCACUCCGCAUGGGGGUUUCCACUAAAGGUUUUCCGGCCGCGGAUGAGGAUGCGUAUGAUUAGGUAGUAGGCGGGGUAAGGCCCACCUAGCCUUCGAUCAUUAGGGGUUCUGAGAGGAAGGUCCCCCANACUGGAACUGAGACACGGUCCAGACUCCUACGGGAGCAGCAGU